RNAcentral lists this ribosomal RNA (1476 nucleotides) under Escherichia coli. RNAcentral's name for it is "partial 23S ribosomal RNA". It matches the Rfam family "Bacterial large subunit ribosomal RNA", at positions 1 to 1512 of the family's 2925-position model. The record is from RNAcentral. Lineage: Bacteria; Pseudomonadati; Pseudomonadota; Gammaproteobacteria; Enterobacterales; Enterobacteriaceae.
GGGUUGUGAGGUUAAGCGACUAAGCGUACACGGUGGAUGCCCUGGCAGUCAGAGGCGAUGAAGGACGUGCUAAUCUGCGAUAAGCGUCGGUAAGGUGAUAUGAACCGUUAUAACCGGCGAUUUCCGAAUGGGGAAACCCAGUGUGUUUCGACACACUAUCAUUAACUGAAUCCAUAGGUUAAUGAGGCGAACCGGGGGAACUGAAACAUCUAAGUACCCCGAGGAAAAGAAAUCAACCGAGAUUCCCCCAGUAGCGGCGAGCGAACGGGGAGCAGCCCAGAGCCUGAAUCAGUGUGUGUGUUAGUGGAAGCGUCUGGAAAGGCGCGCGAUACAGGGUGACAGCCCCGUACACAAAAAUGCACAUACUGUGAGCUCGAUGAGUAGGGCGGGACACGUGGUAUCCUGUCUGAAUAUGGGGGGACCAUCCUCCAAGGCUAAAUACUCCUGACUGACCGAUAGUGAACCAGUACCGUGAGGGAAAGGCGAAAAGAACCCCGGCGAGGGGAGUGAAAAAGAACCUGAAACCGUGUACGUACAAGCAGUGGGAGCACGCUUAGGCGUGUGACUGCGUACCUUUUGUAUAAUGGGUCAGCGACUUAUAUUCUGUAGCAAGGUUAACCGAAUAGGGGAGCCGAAGGGAAACCGAGUCUUAACUGGGCGUUAAGUUGCAGGGUAUAGACCCGAAACCCGGUGAUCUAGCCAUGGGCAGGUUGAAGGUUGGGUAACACUAACUGGAGGACCGAACCGACUAAUGUUGAAAAAUUAGCGGAUGACUUGUGGCUGGGGGUGAAAGGCCAAUCAAACCGGGAGAUAGCUGGUUCUCCCCGAAAGCUAUUUAGGUAGCGCCUCGUGAAUUCAUCUCCGGGGGUAGAGCACUGUUUCGGCAAGGGGGUCAUCCCGACUUACCAACCCGAUGCAAACUGCGAAUACCGGAGAAUGUUAUCACGGGAGACACACGGCGGGUGCUAACGUCCGUCGUGAAGAGGGAAACAACCCAGACCGCCAGCUAAGGUCCCAAAGUCAUGGUUAAGUGGGAAACGAUGUGGGAAGGCCCAGACAGCCAGGAUGUUGGCUUAGAAGCAGCCAUCAUUUAAAGAAAGCGUAAUAGCUCACUGGUCGAGUCGGCCUGCGCGGAAGAUGUAACGGGGCUAAACCAUGCACCGAAGCUGCGGCAGCGACGCUUAUGCGUUGUUGGGUAGGGGAGCGUUCUGUAAGCCUGUGAAGGUGUGCUGUGAGGCAUGCUGGAGGUAUCAGAAGUGCGAAUGCUGACAUAAGUAACGAUAAAGCGGGUGAAAAGCCCGCUCGCCGGAAGACCAAGGGUUCCUGUCCAACGUUAAUCGGGGCAGGGUGAGUCGACCCCUAAGGCGAGGCCGAAAGGCGUAGUCGAUGGGAAACAGGUUAAUAUUCCUGUACUUGGUGUUACUGCGAAGGGGGGACGGAGAAGGCUAUGUUGGCCGGGCGACGGUUGUCCCGGUU